RNAcentral lists this ribosomal RNA (460 nucleotides) under uncultured bacterium. RNAcentral describes it as "partial 16S ribosomal RNA". It matches the Rfam family "Bacterial small subunit ribosomal RNA", at positions 338 to 795 of the family's 1533-position model. The record is from RNAcentral.
CCUACGGGGGGCAGCAGUGAGGAAUAUUGGUCAAUGGACGAGAGUCUGAACCAGCCAAGUAGCGUGAAGGAUGACUGCCCUAUGGGUUGUAAACUUCUUUUAUAUGGGAAUAAAACGUUCCACGUGUGGGAUUUUGUAUGUACCAUAUGAAUAAGGAUCGGCUAACUCCGUGCCAGCAGCCGCGGUAAUACGGAGGAUCCGAGCGUUAUCCGGAUUUAUUGGGUUUAAAGGGAGCGUAGGUGGAUUGUUAAGUCAGUUGUGAAAGUUUGCGGCUCAACCGUAAAAUUGCAGUUGAAACUGGCAGUCUUGAGUACAGUAGAGGUGGGCGGAAUUCGUGGUGUAGCGGUGAAAUGCUUAGAUAUCACGAAGAACUCCGAUUGCGAAGGUAGUUCACUGGACUGCAACUGACACUGAGGCUCGAAAGUGUGGGUAUCAAACAGGAUUAGAUACCCCAGUAGUC